AAAGUUGUUCGUCAUAAUCUAUAUUGCAGGUUAUCAUCAAAAUAUUAUUAGACGAGAUAUAUCUAGAUAUGAUGUUAUAAAUGACAGAAAAAGGAGAGAAAAAAUCUAAUUAUUUUUAGGGUAAUAUUAGAAAGUAGAAUUGAAAAGAAUGUAGUAACUAACCAUUGUUAAUUUGUAUGUGAGUAAAUAACCUUAUGACGGCAUAAGAAAAUACAAAAAUAUCCUUGCAAGUUGAACCAAAAGCAAGAGUAUGAGAAUAACAUGAUAUUUAUAAAAAAGGUGACAUUUUAUAAUAUGUUAUGAGAAUAAAUAAUGUGUUAUAUGAAAAACUAGCAUGUUGACAGAGAAAGAUUUCCAGUUAUCACGUGUAAUUCGAAAAAGUAACAUGAUACAAAAGAAAAUAAUAUACAAUUUAAAAAGAAAACAUAACGAUGAAGAUUCCAAGAAAAAAUCAAAAUCGAACAAAAUAAAUAGCACGAUAUUUAUCAAAAAAGUGACAUUUUAUAAUGUGCUAUGAGAAUAAAUAAUUUGU
RNAcentral lists this small RNA (532 nucleotides) under Arabidopsis thaliana (thale cress). RNAcentral describes it as "ATSL013090". The record is from RNAcentral. Lineage: Eukaryota; Viridiplantae; Streptophyta; Magnoliopsida; Brassicales; Brassicaceae.